RNAcentral lists this long non-coding RNA (513 nucleotides) under Phoenix dactylifera (date palm). RNAcentral's name for it is "long non-coding RNA (PDAC_LNC022833)". Lineage: Eukaryota; Viridiplantae; Streptophyta; Magnoliopsida; Arecales; Arecaceae. The record is from RNAcentral.
CAAAUUUCCUCAUCAGAUGUCUGAUGCAUUAGUCACUUCUUAGACUCUAAAUAAUCAUCAUAUCAUUUUCUAUACCAGUUUGUGAUAAAGAAGGGUUCCAAUGAUUUAUCAGCUUUAUGCAUGAGAUGCUACACCCUUCUGUCAUCAAGACUUGCUCUUUUAUCAGGCGAUUGUAGGUCAUCUUGAUGUUGUUAUUUACUCUCUGAAGUGAACUCAAUCAAACUCCAUUGUAUCUUCUUGAUGUGGUAGGAUUUUAACAUUGCUGAUGAGGUUGUCAUAAUUGUAUGCAGCUUUUUCCUCAUGGUGUAGAAAUUAUGGAUGAUAGCAUAGGCUUAGUCACGAAUUCCUUACGUGCUAGGAAUUUUCUGAAAAUUUUGCUUUUCCAAUCUGAAGUUCCCCCUACUUUUAUUCAGUAUUUUUUACUUACUUGGAAAGACUUUUUGGCUAUGUUUAGGGUCCUGAAGAAAAUCCGUGAAGUGCAUUAAUUGCUAUGAAGAUAAUUUCAAAUAUGCU